Molecule: ribosomal RNA, 440 nt
Filed under: uncultured bacterium
Lineage: Bacteria
Description: partial 16S ribosomal RNA
Rfam family: Bacterial small subunit ribosomal RNA
Source: RNAcentral
CCUACGGGAGGCAGCAGUGGGGGAUAUUGCACAAUGGGGGAAACCCUGAUGCAGCGACGCCGCGUGGGUGAAGAAGCGCCUCGGCGCGUAAAGCCCUGUCAGCAGGGAAGAAAAUGACGGUACCUGAAGAAGAAGCCCCGGCUAACGACGUGCCAGCAGCCGCGGUAAUACGUAGGGGGCAAGCGUUAUCCGGAUAUACUGGGUGUAAAGGGGGCGCAGACGGCGAUGCAAGCCAGGGAUGAAAGCCCGGGGCCCAACCCCGGGACUGCUCUUGGAACUGCGUGGCUAGAGUGCAAGAGGGGCAGGCGGAAUUCCUGGUGUAGCGGUGAAAUGCGUAGAUAUCAGGAGGAACACCGGUGGCGAAGGCGGCCUGCUGGGCUGAAACUGACGUUGAGGCCCGAAAGCGUGGGGAGCAAACAGGAUUAGAUACCCCUGUAGUC